CGGAUCUUUGACCCAUGGAGCGAGGCCAGGGAUCAAACCCGAAACCUCAUGGUUCCUAGUCGGAUUCGUUUCCGCUGCGCCACGGCAGGAACUCCCCUAUUUCCUUCAUUUUAACCGAAGGACAUCCUUUUUCUGUUCUGGCAUUCUGUCCAGGAUAGCCCUAUCACAUUGUCACAUUUCCUUAGGCUCCUCUUGGCGGGGAUGCGUUUUUGAUGACAGUUUUCAGGGGUGCUGGCGUUUUGUAGCUAUUUGGUAGGACACCCCUCUACUGGGCGUUAGUCUGAUGUUUCUCUCUUGGUUAGCCUGGAGUUGAACACAGAAAUUGGCAGUCAGUGGAUCGUGGCUGCCUACUCCCGUGUUCUCUCAGCUUCAGCAUCCAUAAAAUUGGAAUCAAAUGUCUGCGGAAAGCCUCAAACACAGCUUGGAAAAUCACAGAUGGAGAAGUGGAGUCCAGGCUCCUUGGUGUGGCCAAUGACGUCCUUCUCAGUCACCCCAACCCCUUCACCAGUCUCCUCUCCCUGCUGGGACCCCCCUGCCCCAGGUUUGCCAUAGUCCCCCCAGGAGGCCUAGGCUUCAAAGCCUAUUGAUUGUCUUAUGCAAUGCCUGUUCUCCCUUCUCUUCCUAGCUCAUUCCUCUUAGAUCCACUUGACCUUCUGCCUCCUCCCUGACAUCUUGCCCCCUUUCCCUAAAGAGCCUGGCAGUGUCCCUGAGGUCCCCUUAAAACUUGGCCCGUCUCUUGGUAUUGUCCUUCUCGGGGCACGACAUCACCUCUUCCUCUUGGCUGGAAGCUGCUUGAGAACAGGGACUGAAUCGUAAUCCCCUCUGUAUUCCUCACGCCCAGGCUGAGGGCCUGCGCACAGUAGGUGCUCAGGGAUGCUUCGUGAAUGACUGACAGUAGAGAGAAGUGCUGUGUCUGUACCAACCUUAACACAGAGCAUGUUGCCUUCAUCCUAGGAAUGCGGGGUGCUCCGGUGGGUGAUGGAUGCCGGUAACUAACCUUUGGGUGACUCUUAGAAAGCCACUCUUCCUGCCCCAAAGUGAUAGGCGACGGUGGUCAGGUGAGUUGCCCACUGGACGCACUCCAGGAAACUGGCACUGGCAGCUCCCUGUCCCGAGAGCUCUCUCACCAGGAUUUCUGAGAAUGCGAACGCUCAACGGGAGAGCCCAGAACCAAACUUGGAGAACACCCGAGCGCCAGCUGGAAGACAUCAAGCAUCCCUCCAUGGCUUUCUUAGACAGGAGAGCGUUUGUAACGGGAGAGCAAAGCAGUUUCUACACAGAGCCGUGACUAAAGGAGGAUGGGCAAAAAACCUGCUGGACUUUUGUCCCAUAUGAUAGCCUGAGUUCCUUUAGAAGCUGCCAAGGUUCUCAGGACCAGGUGUGUGCCAUGCCCUUGGCUGGGUAUCAUGCGGCUGUGCCUGGCACAUCGUCACCAAGUUCACUUCUCUGAGCUCCAGGACUCACCCUAGGCCAGCAUGAAGCUAUUAAUUAUUUUUCUUUGUCAAACCUUUGUCAGCAACUUCAUCCCCAAAGAAGUGGUUUGUAUUCCCUUUGGCAGUGUUUGUGACUCUAAUAAAUGAGAGAUAAUUAC
Non-coding RNA from Sus scrofa (pig), 1591 nucleotides. Lineage: Eukaryota; Metazoa; Chordata; Mammalia; Artiodactyla; Suidae. The record is from RefSeq and is a predicted model, not a curated record.